Molecule: ribosomal RNA, 346 nt
Filed under: Lioadalia sp. EQ-02.13
Lineage: Eukaryota; Metazoa; Arthropoda; Insecta; Coleoptera; Coccinellidae
Description: partial 12S ribosomal RNA
Source: RNAcentral
UUAAAUGUAAAUAUAAAAAACUAAGUGAUUAAUAGUUAAGUUCUUUAAAGCUAAAUAAUUUGGCGGUAUUUUAAACUUUUCAGAGGAACCUGUUCUAUAAUUGAUAAUCCACGAUAGAAUAAACUUUAAUUAGAAAUUUUUAUAUCGUCGUUGACAAAUAUUUUUAAAGAAUAUAAUAUUUAAAAUUUUUUUCAGAAAAUAAAUCAGAUCAAGGUGAAGUUUAUAUUAAAGAAGUAAUGGGUUACAUUAAAUUUUAUUUAUGGAUAUUUAAAUGAAAAAUAAGUUGAAAUUGGAUUUGAAAGUAAUUAAUUAAACUUUUUUUUAAUGAUUUAGCACUAAAAUAUGC